UACAGAGGUUGCAAACGUUGUUCGGAAUUACUGGGCGUAAAGCGUGCGUAGGCGGCCUCGUAGGUCGGAUGUGAAAGCUCUCGGCUCAACCGGGAAAGUGCAUUCGAAACCACGAGGCUAGAGUGUAGGAGAGGAAGCCGGAAUUGUCGGUGUAGCGGUGAAAUUCGUAGAUAUCGAGAGGAACACCUGCGGCGAAAGCGGCCUUCUGGACUAACACUGACGCUGAGACACGAAAGCGUGGGGAGCAAACAGG
This 253-nucleotide ribosomal RNA is filed under the name uncultured bacterium. Its description in RNAcentral is "partial 16S ribosomal RNA". It matches the Rfam family "Bacterial small subunit ribosomal RNA", at positions 524 to 776 of the family's 1533-position model. The record is from RNAcentral.